This 253-nucleotide ribosomal RNA is filed under the name uncultured bacterium. RNAcentral describes it as "partial 16S ribosomal RNA". It matches the Rfam family "Bacterial small subunit ribosomal RNA", at positions 524 to 776 of the family's 1533-position model. The record is from RNAcentral.
UACGGAGGGGGCCAGCGUUGUUCGGAAUUAUUGGGCGUAAAGGGCGCGUAGGCGGCCGAACAAGUCUGACGUGAAAUCCCUCGGCCUAACCGAGGAACUGCGUUUGAAACUGUUUGGCUCGAGUCCGGGAGAGGGUAGUGGAAUUCCCAGUGUAGAGGUGAAAUUCGUAGAUAUUAGGAAGAACACCAGUGGCGAAGGCGGCUCACUGGUCCGGUACUGACGCUGAGGUGCGAAAGCGUGGGGAGCAAACAGG